Pogona vitticeps (central bearded dragon) is the source of this 721-nucleotide non-coding RNA. Lineage: Eukaryota; Metazoa; Chordata; Lepidosauria; Squamata; Agamidae. The record is from the annotation of a RefSeq genome assembly.
AACACCAUUUAUCGGAAGAACGGUCAUUUUUGUCAACUCGCCUCUUUGUGGGAUUGGUGUGGACCACCUUUCUCUGUCAUCAAUUGUAGUAGGUUUUUGUAUAGCAGCGCAUCACUGUGGGGCGUCUUUGCAGGAGGAACCCGCUUGACGGUCACUGGUCAGCCAUCCGUACCGCCUAAAGUGCAUCUCUUCCCUCCAUCUCAGGAAGAGAUCAAGAGUAAGGGCAAAGGCACCCUGGCCUGUCUCGUAGAUGGCUUUCACCCAAGUUCCAUCCAAGUCAACUGGCAGGCUGAUGGGAAAGCCAUCUCCUCAGGAGUGCAAACAUCUCCGUCCACCAAACAGGGUGACAAGUAUGUGGCCACCAGUUACCUCACUCUGAGUGAGCCAGAAUGGGCCAGCCAUGAGACGUACGCUUGCAAAGUGACACACGAGGGGAAGACCUUCGAGAAAGUGGUGAAGAAAUCCGAGUGUCCAUAAAUGCUGGAAAGCUCAGAGGUGGCCCUCAAGUCUCUCUCACCUGGACAGAAAGAGGGCUUCCUCCCCUCAGCCAUAUAUAUCCUCCGAUCCUUUCCAAAUGCUACUUCAGCCCAUCAAGGCUGAUUUCUGCCCUAUGUGGUUCCAUCCCCACCUCCACCUCCAUCUCUGUACUCCCUCCCCUGAAGAUCCUCUGUAGGUGAGUCCCUGAGGUUAUGAAUACCUUAAUAAAAUUUGAUACACUUCA